Molecule: ribosomal RNA, 446 nt
Filed under: uncultured Rhodoferax sp.
Lineage: Bacteria; Pseudomonadati; Pseudomonadota; Betaproteobacteria; Burkholderiales; Comamonadaceae
Description: bacterial SSU rRNA
Rfam family: Bacterial small subunit ribosomal RNA
Source: RNAcentral
AUGAUGUGGUUUAAUUCGAUGCAACGCGAAAACCUUACCCACCUUUGACAUGUACGGAAUCCUUUAGAGAUAGGAGGGGUGCUCGAAAGAGAGCCGUAACACAGGUGCUGCAUGGCUGUCGUCAGCUCGUGUCGUGAGAUGUUGGGUUAAGUCCCGCAACGAGCGCAACCCUUGUCAUUAGUUGCUACAUUUGGUUGGGCACUCUAAUGAGACUGCCGGUGACAAGCCGGAGGAAGGUGGGGAUGACGUCAAGUCCUCAUGGCCCUUAUAGGUGGGGCUACACACGUCAUACAAUGGCUGGUACAAAGGGUUGCCAACCCGCGAGGGGGAGCUAAUCCCACAAAGCCAGUCGUAGUCCGGAUCGUAGUCUGCAACUCGACUACGUGAAGUCGGAAUCGCUAGUAAUCGUGGAUCAGAAUGUCACGGUGAAUACGUUCCCGGGUCUU